GGCUACCCCAACUUUGUGGCAACCUAUGGCAGAGGCUAUCCUGGAUUUGCUCCUAGCUAUGGCUACCAGUUCCCAGGCUUCCCAGCAGCGGCUUAUGGACCAGUGGCGGCGGCAGCUGUGGCAGCGGCUCGAGGAUCAGAGCAUACCUGGAUGUCCAGGCAAGACUGGGCGAAGUUUCUGAGUGGCCCUUUGUUUAGGUGACGUCCUCAGACCUGGAUCCCCCACCAGCCUCACUCCUCAUCCCAACC
Molecule: long non-coding RNA, 248 nt
Filed under: Rattus norvegicus (Norway rat)
Lineage: Eukaryota; Metazoa; Chordata; Mammalia; Rodentia; Muridae
Description: long non-coding RNA NONRATT004711
Source: RNAcentral